This 203-nucleotide long non-coding RNA is filed under the name Homo sapiens (human). RNAcentral's name for it is "HSALNT0145464". Lineage: Eukaryota; Metazoa; Chordata; Mammalia; Primates; Hominidae. The record is from RNAcentral.
UGCUCACCACGGGGAAACCCGGCCUCAUGGUCGGGCUGCGGGGGGCUGAGGAGGAGCCACACGGGGGCUAGGCCCCAAGUCUGGGGGGUCCCUGCCGCCAGCGGUGUUCUGGGAGCUCCUGGGCCUGGUGGAGCCCCCGUGCCAUUGAGGUGACAGACACUGGUGAUGGAGAUGGCGGUGACAGGCUGUGGAACUGAAGCCUG